RNAcentral lists this ribosomal RNA (468 nucleotides) under uncultured bacterium. RNAcentral describes it as "partial 16S ribosomal RNA". It matches the Rfam family "Bacterial small subunit ribosomal RNA", at positions 28 to 507 of the family's 1533-position model. The record is from RNAcentral.
GACGAACGCUGGCGGCGUGCUUAACACAUGCAAGUCGAACGGAAAGGCCCUGCUUUUGUGGGGUGCUCGAGUGGCGAACGGGUGAGUAACACGUGAGUAACCUGCCCUUGACUUUGGGAUAACUUCAGGAAACUGGGGCUAAUACCGGAUAGGAGCUCCUGCUGCAUGGUGGGGGUUGGAAAGUUUCGGCGGUUGGGGAUGGACUCGCGGCUUAUCAGCUUGUUGGUGGGGUAGUGGCUUACCAAGGCUUUGACGGGUAGCCGGCCUGAGAGGGUGACCGGCCACAUUGGGACUGCGGUACGGCCCAGACUCCUACGGUAGGCAGCAGUCGGGAGUAUUGCACAAUGGGCGGAAGCCUGAUGCAGAAACGCCGCGUGCGGAAUGACGGCCUUCGGGUUGUAAACCGCUUUCGCCUGUGACGAAGCGUGAGUGACGGUAAUGAGUAAAGAAGCACCGGCUAACUACGUG